Long non-coding RNA from Humulus lupulus (European hop), 551 nucleotides. RefSeq lists it as uncharacterized. Lineage: Eukaryota; Viridiplantae; Streptophyta; Magnoliopsida; Rosales; Cannabaceae. The record is from RefSeq and is a predicted model, not a curated record. The transcript has 4 exons.
CUUUACAAUUAAAGCCCCUCUUCAUGUUUCAAAUGUUCAAGUUAUUGAUCCAGUCACAGGGAAGCCUUGUAAAAUUGGGAUUAAGUAUCUUGAAGAUGGAACCAAAGUAAGAGUAUCCAGAGGCCGUGCAUCAGGAUCCAUUACUCCUCGUCCUGAGAUAUUGAAGAUAAGGACUACGCCAAGGCCUACAGUUGGCAUUUGAGCAUGGAUUCACUUCCUCAAUUUUGCAUGGAGGGCUUUCUCCUGAUUUGAACAACUUGAACCAGAUAAGAAUGAUACAAAGGCCUACUGAUGUACCAGAACAUGGCUUGUUGUGUGAUCCUCUAUGGUCUGAUCCUAGCAAAGACAUUCAAGGUCUGAUCUGCAGAGCUCAUCAGGUUGUGGAAGAUGGAUAUGAGUUCUUUGCUAACCGAAAACGUGUGACGCUAUUCUCAGCACCUAACUACUAUAGCGAGUUUGAAAACAACUUAUGGAACAUGAUUAAAGUACAUUAUAUGUUCUGUAUAUCAUACAAUAUUUGGAGCAUAUAUGUUUUUUGGUAGAUCUUUUGC